Molecule: long non-coding RNA, 2848 nt
Organism: Vigna unguiculata (cowpea)
Lineage: Eukaryota; Viridiplantae; Streptophyta; Magnoliopsida; Fabales; Fabaceae
Source: RefSeq, a predicted model, not a curated record
AGUGGAGUUAGUAUACCUGGUGGUGCAGCAAGUACUAGAGGUGUGUGAAGUGGAACAUGGGCUGCACACAAGUCCAAAACAAAAAAUGGGGGUAUGGUUCUAGCAAAUAUCAGGAGUGCGCAAAAAAAUACACAAACAGUCCAACUCAAAUAAAUGGAGGUGCAAAUAUAAACAAAAAGGUGCGCGGAGAAAAAAACGUUCAGACCCAAUUUAUUUGAAAUAAGAAAAAAAAGGGAACCCUAAUUUGAACUAUAGCCCCUCUUCUCUUCACUUCACCAACAACACCCUUCCUCCCUUCUCUCGAGCCACCAAGAUUCCGACAACAAGUGUCGCUGCCGCAAGUCCCACGGCUGGCAAGACACGCCGCCGUCGACACCAGUCCCUACUGGAAGCAUCGCCGGCGAGAACCCAACUCCCUGAAUUGUCCCCCUUCUCGUUUUUCUCCCGCGCGCGAGGUAGGCCGAAUCCCGGAGUCUUGCCGUUGCACACCACGCCGCUCCGACCUCGCGUUUGCCAGCUCAGACCGCCACGGCCUGGACUGCCGCCACGACGCCAUUGCCGCUUGCAGAGUUCCCCUUCCUCUUCUUGUGUCGAAGUGGCUCACUUAAACACGAAAUCUUGUGGCCGUUGCCACCAAGACCACCAUCAUUCAAGACUCCGACUCGCUGGCGGCGAUGCUACCGACGAUUUUUCUUUCCUUUUUGUUUCGAUUGAAAGUCUGUGAUUGGGGAAGAUAAAAUGAGAGUUUUUGGUGCUAUUUGGGGCUUCUAGUUCUCUUUGAUUUUUGUGCAGGUGAAGGAUGAAGAUGACGGAUGAAGAUGAAGGUUGAAUAUGAAGAAGGAAAGGAUAAUAAGGCUGGAAAGUGGUCUACGUAGUGGCACGGGGCUGAUGUUGAUGGUGACGAUAGAGAUUGAGGGUGAUGGGGUGGCAGAUGAAAUUGGUUUGGCUGUUAUGUGUGCACAUGUGAACAAGAAUGGAGGAGAAAGUGUGUUUCAGGACUUGUUUCAAGUAAAACCAAGAGAAAGACCAUGAUGACAAAACGCAGUGAAGUUCAUGGAUGAAAUCGCGUCAUUAAUGAGCAAAGUCCUCAUAGCAAGCAAACAAAACAACAUCAAUUUCACUAUUACAAUGAAUUAUGCUUUCUUAUGUGGUCCUAGAGCCCACUUCAUUUCUCCAUAACAUUUGCAAAGGCGUUGCCAUACCUUGCCUUAGUGGUGAGUUGAUUUCAUUCAAACUUUAACUGUCCUGAAUCAAUCAAGGAUUCCACUUUACGCUUGAGUCCCCAACAAUUUUCGGUUGAAUGACCAAUAGCCCCUCCAUGAUAAUCACAUCUUGCAUCUGCGUCAUAAGUUUUGGAGUACGGGGGCUUGGCAGGCUUCGUGGGGCAAAUAGAGGCCAAACCUCUUUGGAGAAGACUUGGGAGCAAUGCUGCAUAGGUCAUUGGGAUAGGAGUGAAACUCACAAGCCUAUUGUCUUGAUUAACAUUUCCCUGUCCAAUGGUUCGGUGGGAAGUUGAGUUGGGGUCGGAUAUCAAAUUUUGUCUGGGAAAGGCUCCGGAAUGAGGGUAGGUCAAGGGUAUUUGAGCAGUGGGACGUGAUUGAGAUUUUCCAUCUCUCCUCUUCCCAGGUUUAGAACUGGACUCGUUCACACUUGCUACCAUGGUAGAAGCAUGUGCGGUCUUCCCUGUCAUCACACCAAUUCCAAUUCUUUCUCCAAUUAUGACAAAGCUUGAGGAAACAUUACUCACCAUACACUCGUAGAAGGGUGAUUAUAGAGUGCUUAUAAACAUAGUUGUCAUCUCUUUAUUAGGCAAAGGUGGCACCACUUGAGCAGCAAUCUCUCUCCACCUUGGAGCAUACUCUUUGAAUGCCUCGAACUCCUUCUUCGCCAUAUUUUGUAGAUGCAACCUAUUAGGCAUUGUAUCAUUAUUGUAUCCAUAUUGCCUCAAGAACGCAUCAGCCAGAUCUUUCCAUGAACGAAUGUGAGUUGGUUCCAAAAGCGUAUACCAAUUCAGAGCGAUGCCAGUUAAGCUUUCCUGGAACAAGUGAAUUAGUAGUUUUCAUCAUGAGCAUAGGCAGUCAUUUUCCGACAAAACAUGGUUAUGUGGUUCUUUGGACAAGUGUUCCCUCGAUACUUCUCAAACUCUGGCAACUUGAACUUUGGGAGUAUCACCAUGUCUUGGACUAAGCAUAGUCCAACAACAUCACUGAAUGCAAAAUUUCUCUCCCUUUCUAUGGCUCUCAACCUCUUCUCAAGCAUUUGUAAUUUAUUCUCUUCGUCCUUAACGUCCCUAGGUGCGACGAUAGACUUCACAUCAUGUUGCUUUGUCUCUACUAUGUUCACGAUAUUUGGAUGAGUGGUUUCCCCAAAACAUGUGAAAGUAGCAGCUUCAAGCUUAUUUUCUUCUUCAACCACAUUGUUUUCAACAUUUUGAAUGCAAACUUUCCUCGAGUCCACUCCAAGGGGUGGAAUGUAAUUUGAAGGGAGGCUAGAUGGAGGAAAAUUUUGGUUUUCCUGAACCUUAUGUUGUUGUUGUGAUGUCGACGUCUCUCCAGGGUUUUGCAUGGCAUUCAAGGCCUCCAAGAUUUGACUCAUCUGACUCUUUAAUUGUUGGAUAUCGGUCUUCAUCAUCUCUUGGGUUUCUCCUUGGUUUUCCAUGAUUUUGCGAUAGGGUCGCAUCCUAUAGGGUGUCUUGAAAGUUUAGCCUAUUUUACUUUUAUUUUAGUUGAAUUUUAUUGAGUGAAAUGGAUAAAGAAAGAACAAAAAGGAAAUGAAAAGAAAUAGAAAAUAUGACAUAAUGCAACCAAUUCUAGUUAGAAAUUAUAAAGUUGUGAAAACACCAUCAUAA